Molecule: ribosomal RNA, 474 nt
Filed under: Triticum aestivum (bread wheat)
Lineage: Eukaryota; Viridiplantae; Streptophyta; Magnoliopsida; Poales; Poaceae
Description: partial small subunit ribosomal RNA
Source: RNAcentral
AGCGUGACCAAAAAUCAGUUUGGUUUCAUGCCUGAGAGGUCGACCAUGGAAGCCAUUUUCUUGGUACGACAACUUAUGGAGAGAUAUAGGGAGCAAAAGAAGGACUUGCAUAUGGUGUUCAUUGACUUGGAGAGGGCCUAUGAUAAGAUACCGCGGAAUGUCAUGUGGUGGGCCUUGGAGAAACACAAAGUCCCAGCAAAGUACAUUACCCUCAUCAAGGACAUGUACAAUAAUGUUGUGACAAGUGUUCGAACAAGUGAUGUCGACACCGAUGACUUCCCGAUUAAGAUAGGACUGCAUCAGGGGUCAGCUUUGAGCCCUUAUCUUUUUGCAUUGGUGAUGGAUGAGGUCACAAGGGGUAUACAAGGAGAUAUCCCAUGGUGUAUGCUCUUUGCGGAUGAUGUGGUGCUAGUUGACGAUAGUCAGACGGGGGUAAAUAGGAAGUUAGAGUUAUGGAGACAAACCUUGGAAUCG